Molecule: transfer RNA, 74 nt
Rfam family: tRNA
About the family: Transfer RNA (tRNA) molecules are approximately 80 nucleotides in length.
GGGGUCGUCGUCUAGCCUGGUUAGGAUGAUAGCUUUGGGAGUUAUCGACCUCGGUUCAAAUCCGAGCGACCUCA